GGGCGGCGUUUGGUGGCGGUGGGUGCUGAGCCCCAGUAGUGGGAGCAGCACCGCGAUUCACGUCUGUGUGUCCGUGUAUCUCCCUGUCCAUGUGUCUCUGUUUGUUUCUACCUGCCCGUGCAUCCCUGAGCCUGAAUUCCCGUUGUAGUUCCUGCAGACCCCAUUGCUGCCCCCACCGUGGGCUCUCCAUGUCCCCGCAGCCCCCGGAGGCAGCUCAGGGCCCCCCACGACCCCUCCAGCUCUCCCUUCUGUCCCAGCUGCCCUCUCCCUGCUGCGUGCCCCCCA
This 285-nucleotide long non-coding RNA is filed under the name Gallus gallus (chicken). The record is from RNAcentral. Lineage: Eukaryota; Metazoa; Chordata; Aves; Galliformes; Phasianidae.